Molecule: ribosomal RNA, 253 nt
Filed under: uncultured bacterium
Lineage: Bacteria
Description: partial 16S ribosomal RNA
Rfam family: Bacterial small subunit ribosomal RNA
Source: RNAcentral
UACGUAGGGCGCAAGCGUUGUCCGGAAUUAUUGGGCGUAAAGAGCUCGUAGGCGGUCUGUCGCGUCGGAUGUGAAAGCCCGGGGCUUAACCCCGGGUCUGCAUUCGAUACGGGCAGACUAGAGUGUGGUAGGGGAGAUCGGAAUUCCUGGUGUAGCGGUGAAAUGCGCAGAUAUCAGGAGGAACACCGGUGGCGAAGGCGGAUCUCUGGGCCAUUACUGACGCUGAGGUGCGAAAGCGUGGGGAGCAAACAGG